This 253-nucleotide ribosomal RNA is filed under the name uncultured bacterium. RNAcentral describes it as "partial 16S ribosomal RNA". It matches the Rfam family "Bacterial small subunit ribosomal RNA", at positions 524 to 776 of the family's 1533-position model. The record is from RNAcentral.
UACGGAGGAUCCGAGCGUUAUCCGGAUUUAUUGGGUUUAAAGGGUGCGUAGGUGGAUUGAUAAGUCAGUGGUGAAAGUUUGCAGCUUAACUGUAAAAUUGCCGUUGAAACUGUCGGUCUUGAGUGCAAAUGAGGUAGGCGGAAUGCGUCGUGUAGCGGUGAAAUGCUUAGAUAUGACGCAGAACUCCGAUUGCGAAGGCAGCUUACUGGGAUGCAACUGACACUGAGGCACGAAAGCGUGGGUAUCAAACAGG